This 433-nucleotide ribosomal RNA is filed under the name uncultured bacterium. RNAcentral describes it as "partial 16S ribosomal RNA". It matches the Rfam family "Bacterial small subunit ribosomal RNA", at positions 29 to 507 of the family's 1533-position model. The record is from RNAcentral.
AACGAACGCUGGCGGCAGGCCUAACACAUGCAAGUCGAGCGCGCCCUUCGGGGUGAGCGGCGGACGGGUGAGUAACGCGUGGGAACGUGCCCUUCUCUGCGGAAUAGCCUCGGGAAACUGAGAGUAAUACCGCAUACGCCCUUUGGGGGAAAGAUUUAUCGGAGAAGGAUCGGCCCGCGUUGGAUUAGGUAGUUGGUGGGGUAAUGGCCCACCAAGCCGACGAUCCAUAGCUGGUUUGAGAGGAUGAUCAGCCACACUGGGACUUAGACACGGCCCAGACUCCUACGGGAGGCAGCAGUGGGGAAUCUUAGACAAUGGGGGCAACCCUGAUCGAGCCAUGCCGCGUGAGUGAUGAAGGCCUUAGGGUUGUAAAGCUCUUUCAGCUGGGAAGAUAAUGACGGUACCAGCAGAAGAAGCCCCGGCUAACUCCGUG